CCGGGGAGGGGCGGAACCGGAGAGUCCGAGGGACGCGUGCGUGCGCGCGCCCGCGGCCCCGCCCUCGCCGAGGUCAGACCCGGGGCGGGACCGGGAGCCUGGAGGGGCGGGGUCUGAACAAAGAGGGCGGGGCCGGGGAGGUCGAGGGGUGCGCGUUGGCUGGGUCUCCCGGAGGACCGGCUGUCACGUGUGUCGUGGGGCCUUGGGUACCCCGGUUAGGCACCGUUUGCGUGUCACGCUGCUGCAGUGCGUGUGUUGCGUAGGGCUGAAAUGUGUACGUGCUGAUCAUGUGUGGGGAAGCCGCCCUGGAGUCAGCUACCCCGAAUUCCAGCAAAGCCUCUCCCCAACUCUGUGGCCUUCCACAAGUUGCUUAACCCCUCUGAGCCUCACUGUUUCUUCAUCUGGAAAAUCUGGGUAGUGAAAAUGACUUCCUCAAACAGUUGCGGGGAGGAUGACAUUACGUAAUGGACAUGAAGCACUCAGCACUGAGCACCUGCACCUGACUACAGGCUCAGGCGGAGUUUGGAGAGGCUGACCAUGUGUUCAGUGACCCUGUCAGUGCAAUUGGAAAUCCUGAGUGUGGGGCUGUGUGUGCAGUGGGGGAAAGGGUCAGAGAGUGGGGCCCUACCUUUUUGGGGCAAAGCCCCACACUAUCCCCUUACAGACACCCUCAGAGGAGGGGAAGCCAGGGAGGUGGGGGAGAGCGGAAGGCACCAAGGUUGGGGCUGAGAGGCAUCUGACAAGGAGGAAGGCAUCAAGAGUGACAACGCUGGGCAGAGCACAUGGCUGCGUGGCCUGUCAGCUGGGGCUGCUUGUGGCUUGGACAUCCCUGGUCUCAGGGUGGAAGUGGGGCUGCUGGGGCUGAAGGGGAAGCAGGGACAGGGACAUCCUCAACUACUCUUUCUGGAAGCCAGUGAGGAAGGAAGACAGCCUGGGGCUUAACAGCAGGGCCAGGAGAAUGGAUGAAUGAAUGGGACCCUUCCUCAUGCCUCACUCAUCACUGGGCCUGCCCUGGCCUCAGCCUUCAGUCUUCAUGGAGGCCAGCAAUUGCUGCCAGCAGCCCUGGCCAUGCCAACCUCCCCAGGUCUGGUCCGUACUAUUGGGCCUCAGUUUCUCCAUCUGUAAACUGAGAGGGCGGGACCAGACAGCACAUUCCACGAGCACAUCUUGCCCCCUUCCCAAGUGCCAAUCCUCAGACACCCACGAAACACUUCCACUGUGACUGGAGUGAGGCGGCAGUUCAUCCGUUCAGAACAAGACCCCCAUGUGCACACGACUAGAAGGGCCUACUUCACAAAAAUUAUGGUGUGCCCAGUGCCCGACACCCUGGGGAGUCACUGCCACCCCGGAGGGGCCACCAAUUCAACAUGUGACAACCCGAAGUGGAGGGAAGCAGAGGAGGAAGAGACGGAGGGGGACACACAGAUGGAAACUGAGCCCAAGAACCAAGAGUGAGCCUGAGGACCACAGCGAGGGACAGCGGGAGAGGGAGGCAGCAGGCAGACGGAGGCGAGGAGCGAUUCCUUGGGCAUCUUAAGUCACUCUCUGGCCCCUGAGCAGCUGUCUCGUUUAGGGAAAAGGAUGCAGGGGUCCCCACAGGCGAGAGGCUGAACUCAGAGCUGGCCAGGUGAGAAGCGAAGCACCGAACCACUGAAAUCUCCAGGAGACCACACUGGGUGGCAGAUGUGACAGCAACCCUCUGACCUCACGGGGCGCUGCCGUCCCAGCACAACCAGAACAAGGUGUGCCGAUGCCGGGAGCAGUGCAAACGGCCCUGGACGGGGAUGCAGAGGGCUCCGGAUCAGCCUGGGGCUCGCUGUGGGGCCCUGCUGUCAUCCCUUGGAAAUGGGUACACCCCCGGCAUAUUGAGGGGGAGGCACGCAGAGGAACAAACGUGAUAAAUGCAUCCAUGGGCUGCAAAUCGGGGGCCGCUCGGACAGCUGUCCCCCACUCCUGCAGUGCUCGCUGCCUGGCACUGUGAGGAGUCACUGCCACCCCCGAGGGGCCACCAAUUCAACAUGUGACAGGCCGAAGUGGAGGGAAGCAGAGGAGAGAGGAAGACAUAGAGGGAAACUGAACCCAAGACCCAAAAGUGAGCCGGAGGACCACAGCGGGAGAGGGAGGCAGCAGGCAGACGGAAGCGAGGAGACAGGGCGCAGAGGGGCUGCGGGGGGUGCUGGGCACACCUGGCUGAGGAAGGGACCAAAGGCCCAGAGGGUCCCAUAGUCUCAGCCUAGUACCUGUCCCCAAGCCCAGGGGCCCUGAUCACAAGGCAGCAACGUCUAUCCCACAGCUGUGAUAGGUGGGGCACAUCACACCCCGAGGGGCCCCGGCAUCCAUGAUCUCCCCUCCUGGAGGGUGGUCAGCCGCCAUCCUGGCCCCGGACUCCUUGGAAAUGCUCCACAAAGUGCCAGCUGGAAAUGUCACAGCACAGGGGGCCUUGGGAUGAGCCAGCCCCAAGGGGCCAUUCUUUCCUGUGGGUUUGGGGAACUCUUUUAAGAUCUGGAGUGCAGAUUCGGGUUCCAGUGCCUGCUCUGUGUCUUCCUAGCCUUAGUUUCACCUCCUGGGGCCUCAAUUUCUCCAUCAGUAAAAUGGGGACAGUAACCGUCAUAGCACCAGCUCUCAGGCUUCUCAGGGGAGCAGACAGUGAAGCAGUGCACAGAAGUCCUUGGUAAUCCAAGAAGCACCCUCUGGACGGAGCUGCCAGGACAGCCCGCAGCCACCCUGGACUGACCCGUGGGGCUGGGGGCAGCUGGGGAGGCCAAGCGUGUGCACACGGGCACCAGCAGCAGAGCAGACCCCCAGUCUCCUCUCUCAUACCCGAGAUGGGAGAUGAAGACUCCCCUGUGAGUUCCAAACUCCUCCAACCAGUUCUGGCAGGGAAGAAAGGGAGUCCUGGGAAAGCAACUCCCAUGCCUGGGGCUCGGCGGUGACCCACCCAGCCCCUCCCCGGCAG
RNAcentral lists this long non-coding RNA (2956 nucleotides) under Homo sapiens (human). RNAcentral's name for it is "HSALNT0355273". Lineage: Eukaryota; Metazoa; Chordata; Mammalia; Primates; Hominidae. The record is from RNAcentral.